GGCUCAGAUUCAACGCUGGCGGCGUGCCUAACACAUGCAAGUCGAACGAGAAAGUCCCCGCAAGGGGAUGAGUAAAGUGGCGAACGGGUGAGUAACACGUAGCUAACUUGCCUUCGAGUGGGGGAUAACCUGGGGAAACCCGGGCUAAUACCGCAUAACGCCCCGGGAGCACAUGCUUCUGGGGUCAAAGGCCCGCAAGGGUCGCUGGAGGAGGGGGCUGCGGCCGAUUAGCUAGUUGGUGAGGUAAUGGCCCACCAAGGCGAUGAUCGGUAGCCGGCCUGAGAGGGCGCACGGUCACACUGGCACUGAAACACGGGCCAGACUCCUACGGGAGGCAGCAGUGGGGAAUUUUGCACAAUGCCCGAAAGGGUGAUGCAGCAACGCCGCGUGAGGGAUGAAGGCCUUCGGGUCGUAAACCUCUUUCGACUGGGAAAAACGGGCGGGUGAAUAAUCCGUCCUGAUGGUACCGGUGGAAGAAGCCCCGGCUAACUACGUGCCAGCAGCCGCGGUAAUACGUAGGGGGCGAGCGUUGUUCGGAAUUAUUGGGCGUAAAGGGCGUGUAGGCGGUGCGGUAAGUCGGGCGUUAAAUCUCCAGGCUUAACUUGGAGGGGCCGUCCGAAACUGCCGUGCUAGGGUGCGGGAGAGGGCAGUGGAAUUCCCGGUGUAGCGGUGAAAUGCGUAGAUAUCGGGAGGAACAUCUGUGGCGAAGGCGGCUGCCUGGACCGCAACCGACGCUGAGGCGCGAAAGCUAGGGGAGCAAACAGGAUUAGAUACCCUGGUAGUCCUAGCCCUAAACGAUGAGCACUGGGUGUGGCCCUGCACGGGGCUGUGCCGAAGCUAACGCAUUAAGUGCUCCGCCUGGGGAGUACGGUCGCAAGGCUGAAACUCAAAG
RNAcentral lists this ribosomal RNA (892 nucleotides) under uncultured bacterium. RNAcentral describes it as "bacterial SSU rRNA". It matches the Rfam family "Bacterial small subunit ribosomal RNA", at positions 21 to 906 of the family's 1533-position model. The record is from RNAcentral.